GUCCAGACUCCUACGGGAGGCAGCAGUGGGGGAUAUUGCACAAUGGGGGGAACCCUGAUGCAGCGACGCCGCGUGAGGGAAGACGGUUUUCGGAUUGUAAACCUCUGUCUUUAGGGACGAAACAAAUGACGGUACCUAAAGAGGAAGCCACGGCUAACUACGUGCCAGCAGCCGCGGUAAUACGUAGGGGGCAAGCGUUAUCCGGAUUUACUGGGUGUAAAGGGAGCGCAGACGGUGAGACAAGUCUGAAGUGAAAGCCCGGGGCUCAACCCCGGGACUGCUUUGGAAACUGCCUGACUGGAGUGCUGGAGAGGCAAGCGGAAUUCCUAGUGUAGCGGUGAAAUGCGUAGAUAUUAGGAAGAACACCAGUGGCGAAGGCGGCUUGCUGGACAGUAACUGACGUUGAGGCUCGAAAGCGUGGGGAGCAAACAGGAUUAGAUACCCUAGUAAC
This 451-nucleotide ribosomal RNA is filed under the name uncultured bacterium. RNAcentral describes it as "bacterial SSU rRNA". It matches the Rfam family "Bacterial small subunit ribosomal RNA", at positions 329 to 794 of the family's 1533-position model. The record is from RNAcentral.